This 499-nucleotide long non-coding RNA is filed under the name Marmota monax (woodchuck). The record is from RNAcentral. Lineage: Eukaryota; Metazoa; Chordata; Mammalia; Rodentia; Sciuridae.
CACCAGUCCUGUAGUCAUAUAUGCACAUAGGAUAAUAGUGUUUGAUUCAUUCUUCUGUUCUUCAUCGCCAACUCUUUAAAUUUGAUUUUCAGAUGGGGUCUGGCUAUGUUGCCCAGCCUGGCCUGUAAGUCCUGACCCUCCUGUUUCAGUUUCUCAAGGUGUUGACAUUAAAGGCAUUGGCAAUCCCAGCUAUGGAAAAUAGUUCAUUUUGAUUUAAAUAUUAAUGAGCACACUCAGGAACAUGGAUUCAAUUGACCCUAAAUGAUGUAUGUGUCCCACCCUGAAAGACAAGGAUUAAACCCAGGGGCACUUAAUCACUGAGCCACAAUCAGUCAUUUUUAGAUUGUAUUUUGAGGCAUGAUCUCAUCAAGUUCCUUAUGGUCUCACUAACUUACUGAGACUGACUUUGAAUUUAGCAGUCCUCCUACCUUAUCUUCUCAAGCUACUGGGAUUACACUUGUGUGGCACUGUGCCUGGCCUACAUGAACUUUUAUAAAAG